UACGUAGGUGGCAAGCGUUGUCCGGAUUUAUUGGGCGUAAAGCGCGCGCAGGCGGUUUCUUAAGUCUGAUGUGAAAGCCCUCGGCUUAACCGAGGAGGGUCAUUGGAAACUGGGAGACUUGAGUGCAGAAGAGGAAAGUGGAAUUCCAAGUGUAGCGGUGAAAUGCGUAGAGAUUUGGAGGAACACCAGUGGCGAAGGCGACUUUCUGGUCUGUAACUGACGCUGAGGCGCGAAAGCGUGGGGAGCAAACAGG
RNAcentral lists this ribosomal RNA (253 nucleotides) under uncultured bacterium. RNAcentral describes it as "partial 16S ribosomal RNA". It matches the Rfam family "Bacterial small subunit ribosomal RNA", at positions 524 to 776 of the family's 1533-position model. RNAcentral also lists the same sequence under 1 other name. The record is from RNAcentral.